This is a long non-coding RNA of Raphanus sativus (radish), 503 nucleotides long. RefSeq lists it as uncharacterized. The record is from RefSeq and is a predicted model, not a curated record. The transcript is spliced from 4 exons. NCBI's taxonomy places the organism in Eukaryota, Viridiplantae, Streptophyta, Magnoliopsida, Brassicales, Brassicaceae.
GUCGGAGCUCUCAUCCAUCGCUGAGUCGGUGACAAAACCACAACACGAUAGCACCUGCUCCAAAUCAAGCUUCUCUGGCGCGUUCUUGCUUCACAACCGGCAUCUCCGUCUUGUUCCGUUCUCGUCGUCACCGGAAUCAAAACUGUAGAAGAGCAACCAUGGCAUUUCGACAAAAGGUAAACAAGUUUCAACAUGCUCAGAAGGGAUUGAAUGCUUCAAGGUCAAAAGACUCUCAAGUGUUAAAGAAGCUAAGAAAAGAAGCAUUCUUCUCGGAGUUGAGAAAAACGAAAAGAGACUCCAAGGCUCAAAAAGCUUCAAAUUCCACUGAAGACGAAGCUCCUGCUUGAGCUGCAGUAUCGUUUGCUUUGAGAGAUCGCAAGCUUGCAAUCUUCUUUGCAUAGUCUGUAUCAGAUGUUGUUGCAGUCUUAAUUGGGGGAUCUGGAACUUCAUCUUUCACCACCUCCCAUAGCUCUCUGUUCAUCAGUGUGGUGUGCAUCGUUACU